GACGAACGCUGGCGGCGUGCUUAACACAUGCAAGUCGAGGGCAUUACGGGGGCAACUCUGUAGUGACCGGCGAACGGGUGCGUAACACGUGAGCGACCUUGCCUCGUGGGUGGGGGAUAGCCGGCCCAACGGCCGGGUAAUACCGCAUAUGGUAGUUUCUUCGCAUGGGGAGACUAGCAAAGCCCUGGAGCAAUCCAGUGGCGCCACAGGGGGGGCUCGCGGCCUAUCAGCUAGUUGGGGGGAAUGGCCCACCAAGGCGACGACGGGUAGCUGGUCUGAGAGGAUGGCCAGCCACAUUGGGACUGAGAGACGGCCCAGACUCCUACGGGAGGCAGCAGUGGGGAAUCUUGCGCAAUGGCCGAAAGGCUGACGCAGCGACGCCGCGU
Molecule: ribosomal RNA, 386 nt
Filed under: uncultured bacterium
Lineage: Bacteria
Description: bacterial SSU rRNA
Rfam family: Bacterial small subunit ribosomal RNA
Source: RNAcentral